This 364-nucleotide ribosomal RNA is filed under the name uncultured Treponema sp. Its description in RNAcentral is "bacterial SSU rRNA". It matches the Rfam family "Bacterial small subunit ribosomal RNA", at positions 1023 to 1382 of the family's 1533-position model. The record is from RNAcentral. Lineage: Bacteria; Pseudomonadati; Spirochaetota; Spirochaetia; Treponematales; Treponemataceae.
UACGUCGCUAUACAGGUGCUGCAUGGCUGUCGUCAGCUCGUGCCGUUGACGGUGUUGGGUUAAGUCCCGCAACCGAGCGCAACCCUACUGCCAGUUACUAACAGGUAAUGCUGAGGACUCUGGCGGAACUGCCGGUGACAACCGGAGGAAGGUGGGGAUGACGUCAAGUCCAUCAUGGCCCUUAUGUCCAGGGCUACACACGUGCUACAAUGGACGGUACAGAACGAUGCGAAACCGACGAGGACGAAGCAAAUCGGCGAAAACCGUUCGUAGUUCGGAUUGGAGUCUGAAACCCGACUCCAUGAAGUUGGAAUCGCUAGUAAUCGCGCAUCAGCACGGCGCGGUGAAUACGUUCCCGGGCCUU